GCUAUCGUUGGAUGAACAGUAUAAGGCCUUAAGUGUUGGGACGAUUUUGCCUCUUAUUUCUAGUCUCUUCAACUGUUUUGCCCCUCCAUGGCUUGGUUGCGUGGCUUGCAGAGUGGAUCUUCUCGCUGUUUGGGAGAGAGAGAGAGAGAGAGAGAGAGAAGAUGGAGAUUCUGGGUUGCGCAUCUUCCAGCUCCGGUGACGACUAAUUGAAUUUCUUGGUGGAGUCGUAUUUGCGCAUAAUUGGAGAGCCAAAGCUUUAGUCUGUAUUUCGUCAGGUCAUUUGCUGGGUUUUGGGGGAAUAUGGAACUGCUAAUGGAAAGCAUUCUGCUUCAUAUAUCACUGGAGAGAAGGGAAAUUGUAUAGUUAAUGAACAAUUGGAAGGAAUAUGUUCAAGCCAUGAGAAUCUCGCCUGUCUUUCCUGAGAACCGUUUAAAAAUUGGUCAAGAGCUUACCAGGGGUCUUGGUGCUGGUGGAAACCCAUGCCAGAUGUUGGUGUGAAUGCUGUCAAACAAAGCCUAAAAUCAUAGAAGAAGCACUAUAUGGGUCAGACAUGGUAUUCGUUAUGGCUAGAAUGGGUGGAGGAAUUCACAUUGGUGUUGCUCCGGUAGUUGCAGGUGUUGCAAAAUCAAUGGGAAACUUCAAGUAUCCUUUUCUGACUAUGGUUGUAAUGAGAUAAUUCGGAAUAUGAGGGUAUUACGUUUGGAUUUGAUUUUACAGCAUUUUAGAAUUUGAUCUCAGCUAUGUAAAGUCAUUGACAUUUUAAGAAUAUAUUGGCUGAUGAGAGGUUCAAAGAGAUUAUGAAUGAAUUACCAUCUCACAUUAGGUUAUAAACAUGAAUUCAGGAAAAAAAAAACAUAACCCCGCAGCAUUGAGUGGGCGAGUUGCCUAGUUACCUAUUUUAAACCUCUAAAUCCUUAUGAAUAGUAAUUUGCCCUGCUGCUUUGCCCAUAUUUUGCUCAUUACCCUUGCCACCUGUUGAUCUGUUGAGCCACCACCUAAUUACUUUGAGCGAUGGCGGGUCGCCCCUUCUCUGCUGCGCAGAAGAGACAGGAGCUGAAAGAGAGACGUUGUUUGCCUGGCAGAAAGAGAGUUGAAGAGGUGGAUUGAUAGAGGGCGACAUACGCAGAGGUUGUAUUCGUUUUGCCCAGGCGUUGUUGAGAUUGUUAUUCAUUUUGAAGCUUAUGGAUUUUCAGGGAGGAUGAGCAUAGUAUCAAAAGAAAUUGACUGAGGAAUGUGCAACCAAUAAUUUUCCUUAAUCUGUUUCAGUUUUUGCUAAAUUCUGUCAUUUCAAGUGUUUUCUGAAAUCUAACUCACUCAAUUUAAUGCCUUUUAUGUUAUUCUUUAGGUGAGACAGAGAUGAUUGUUCCUCUUCUUUGCUACAGAAAUUGAGCCGCUGGAGGUUUCAUUUGCAGUAGUUGUAAUUAUUUCUUAUAUCAAUGCUGUGAUUUGGUGUUGAAGCAUCUUUCAGUCAUGCAAAAACAAAGGGUUUUUUGUGGUUUAUUGGAUUCCCCACAAUCCAGGCUGAGGGACUUACAGUGGAGGUGAUACUUUAAACCGUGAAAAUAGGGUGUUACUUGAUCAUUGGACGUUGGAAAAGAUGAGGGAUGCUGAACGCCUCAAUGAGGGUGACAUUGUCUUUGCAUCUGUUAUGGCAACUCUUGGACUGCAAAUAUUGCUCGAGUCUGCUUGAGAACUGAUCUCAAAGAAAUGGAUGAUGGACAGGAGAAGUGGAUGACCGCUAUCAUGGUCUCUGUCACAGUAGUGAAGUUUCUCCACAUGGUCUACUGUCAAAGAUUUAAAAAUGAAAUUGUACGGGCAAGGUGAAUUUCAUUGAACCUUGAAGAUAACAGUAUUGACAAGGCAGGGUGAAUUAGUAGCUGGGCUAAAAUAUUGUCAAAAUUGGGAAAAAACCGAAAGAAUGCGGAAAGAGUCCACAUACUCUUUCGAUAAAUGAUCGCGUCAAUGAGCAUCUCUAAAAGGCUAAAUUUAAGUAUCAUGUUUUUAAGUUUGAUUUUAUAUUUUGGUUAAUUGUUGUAGUUAAACAUAUAUCAUACCCGCAACAUC
Rosa rugosa (rugosa rose) is the source of this 2064-nucleotide long non-coding RNA. RefSeq lists it as uncharacterized. Lineage: Eukaryota; Viridiplantae; Streptophyta; Magnoliopsida; Rosales; Rosaceae. The transcript is spliced from 9 exons. The record is from RefSeq and is a predicted model, not a curated record.